AUAGUUUGAUUUAUCGGAGAUCUCCGCUCAGCACUCAGAUGUGAUUACAGCCUCGCUGCCCUGCUCUGGAUCACAGCUGGGAGAAGCUCAGGUUUAUCUUACCUCAGCCUGACAUCUCAUGCAGAUAUUUCACUAUAUUAUGUCUGCACAGUCCUCCCUGUCUCUAUGGUUGCUCUACGAGUCCGUCAGUUUCAGUAGAAACAGCUACACUGCUGCCGCUAUAGGAAAUCUGUGCCAGACAGGGAAAUGUGGGCAGUCGUUAGCUAGAAAAUCGAUAUAGCUGGACAGGAAAAUUGACUGAGCUGUAGCUACUGUAUAUAACUGGGAAUGGUACAGUUUAUAGCCUGCACCUGGGCGAAGACUGUGCCAGUGAUGUGCAGAGAGUAGCCUAAAUCUUCGUUGGUUUGCCAAGGAGGGGAGCAAUCACCGGUACGCCCAGUUGGUCUCAUUCCUCACGCGGUCGCUCUCGCGGGCGAUGUCCGAGGCGUUCUGGAUGACCAGACCGUCAUAGGCUCUCAGCCCACUGUCCUCCACGUACUGGAAAAACCUGCUGAAGGCGUCCUCCUCAGAGCUCAUUGUUCUCCAGUCACAAACACUGAACGGGAGGAAACACACGCGUCAGUGAUGGAGACCCUGCUCUCACAUGAUGAAGACACUGCUGUAAAUUACACUCAGGUGUUUACAACAUAUACGCACAUGUAUGUGCACUUUGUAUGUGUGUAUAUAUUUGUAUGUAUAUUUACUUGGACUCGGAUUUCACCUGCUGAAAUCUAUUUUGUUCACACAUACCAUUUUGUAUGCUGUGAAUGCACAUGAUGUGAAUGUCACAUGACUUCCACACGUAAAUGUGAAUGUGAGACAUUGUGA
This is a long non-coding RNA of Anguilla anguilla (European eel), 867 nucleotides long. RefSeq lists it as uncharacterized. The record is from RefSeq and is a predicted model, not a curated record. NCBI's taxonomy places the organism in Eukaryota, Metazoa, Chordata, Actinopteri, Anguilliformes, Anguillidae. The transcript has 2 exons.